AUACGAAAGGUGCAAGCGUUGUUCGGAUUUACUGGGCGUAAAGAGAGUGUAGGUUGUUUAUUAAGUCGGAUGUGAAAUCCCGGGGCUCAACCUCGGAGCUGCAUUCGAUACUGGUAGACUAGAGUUCGGGAGGGGUAAGCGGAAUUCCGUGUGUAGCAGUGAAAUGCGUAGAUAUACGGAGGAACACCUGAGGCGAAGGCGGCUUACUGGACCGAUACUGACACUGAGACUCGAAAGCGUGGGUAGCAAACAGAAUUAGAAACCCCAGUAGUCC
RNAcentral lists this ribosomal RNA (274 nucleotides) under uncultured bacterium. RNAcentral describes it as "partial 16S ribosomal RNA". It matches the Rfam family "Bacterial small subunit ribosomal RNA", at positions 523 to 796 of the family's 1533-position model. The record is from RNAcentral.